RNAcentral lists this ribosomal RNA (498 nucleotides) under uncultured bacterium. Its description in RNAcentral is "partial 16S ribosomal RNA". It matches the Rfam family "Bacterial small subunit ribosomal RNA", at positions 30 to 523 of the family's 1533-position model. The record is from RNAcentral.
AUUGAAUGCUGGCGGCAUGCCUUACACAUGCAAGUCGAACGGUAACAGGUCUUCGGAUGCUGACGAGUGGCGAACGGGUGAGUAAUACAUCGGAACGUGCCCGAGAGUGGGGGAUAACGAAGCGAAAGCUUUGCUAAUACCGCAUACGAUCUGAGGAUGAAAGCGGGGGACCGUAAGGCCUCGCGCGAUCGGAGCGGCCGAUGUCAGAUUAGGUAGGUGGUGGGGUAAAGGCUCACCAAGCCAACGAUCUGUAGCUGGUCUGUGAGGACGACCAGCCACACUGGGACUGAGACACGGCCCAGACUCCUACGGGAGGCAGCAGUGGGGAAUUUUGGACAAUGGGCGAAAGCCUGAUCCAGCAAUGCCGCGUGCAGGAAGAAGGCCUUCGGGUUGUAAACUGCUUUUGUACGGAGCGAAAAGGUCUCCUCUAAUACAGGGGGCUCAUGACGGUACCGUAAGAAUAAGCACCGGCUAACUACGUGCCAGCAGCCGCCGCCG